Molecule: long non-coding RNA, 1960 nt
Filed under: Salvia miltiorrhiza (redroot sage)
Lineage: Eukaryota; Viridiplantae; Streptophyta; Magnoliopsida; Lamiales; Lamiaceae
Description: long non-coding RNA (SMIL_LNC008022)
Source: RNAcentral
UCGGGUUCGGGUAUUUAGGGUGCAAAAAAAUCGGGUAUCGAAAUACCCGAUUUUUUAUUUAAUAUAUUUUAAAUUAUUUAGUUAAAUAUAAUUAAAUAAAAAUAUGAAACUAAAAGUGAAAGUGCAAAAGUAACACUUUUAUUUUGCUGUACUGUUAGUCUCUGUUUAAAUUGAAUUGGACUCCGCCGAGCCGCUCCUCUCAAUCCAGAAAUCCGGCGACCCAGCGGCGCCCCUCGCCCGCCCGUCGUCGCCGUUCUCCUCGCCUCGCCAGCCCGCCAUCGCCGUUCUGCUCGCCUCGUCCGCCCGCAGUCGCCCACUCGCUCCCAGCCCCCGCAGUUCCACCGCGACCCUCGCCCAGUCGCCCUAUCGUUCCCGUCGUUCCGCCGCCGCCGAGCUUGUCGCCCUGCAGCAGCCGUGCCGCCUCCGAGCUCCAACAACGUCACACCAGUUCUUCUUCUUCUUCUUCUUCUUCUUUAAUACAAAUUUCCUAUGUCAAUGUUGAAUAAUUGAAUUUGCUGCUUUGAAUAAUUGAAUUUGGUCCUUGAAUUUCACUAUGUCAAUGUUGAAUUUCGGCUGAAUUUGCUGCCCUGCUUUGAAUUGGUUGCCAUGCCCCCUGCAUCAUUUCCUCCUUGUUAUUUGUUGGUUGUCUCUUUGUUGUUUGUUACACGUAGAGGCUCUCUAUGUAUUCGGGUAAUUUAGGGUACCGAAUACCCGAAUCGGGUAUUAGGGUACCCGAUUAAGAAAUCGGGUUCGGGGUCGGGUAUCAGUUUCCGGCCUUAUUCGGGGUUGGAUACCUCGGGUAGGGUACCCGAUCCCGACCCGAUUCCCACCCCUAGAUCUUAUACAUUUCUUCGUUUAUUGUGAAACUCACUUUUCGUCGUUCUAUGUUGGUAAACAUCAGGGAUCUGUCAAUGGCUGACUCUUCCAAGUCCUUGAAACUCCCCAACUCUACUGCUACAGGUAAUUCAACACUCCAGUUAUUCACUACAAAGAAAAACAACAACUAUGCUUAAUUUUCUUUUAAUGAAAGCUGUAAUCUUGUGAUUUUAAGGGCAACAUUUUUAGGGAGUAAAAGAUUUUUGAAAACGAGACGGGUGAUGUUAGGCUUAGGUGCAUGCGUUUGAAAGAAUGCUUCUUGAAAAAUUGGCUGAUGAGUUGCAUAUCUUCUUCCCUAGUUGAAGAGUGGGUAGAUGAUUACUUUUUUAUUUUUAAAUUUUGGGGGGCGUUUAUAUUUGAAUUUCUGAUGUCCUGAUUGCAUAAAAUUUAAAUAAAAUUGAUUUUCAUGUUUAUUGAUUGAUUUGGAAUGGUUAACUCAUUUCAGUUUGGUCUUUUUCUGACAUACGAAGAACUCAAUGCGCCAUUUGGGUGGUAAAGGCUUGUUAAAUUUUGUUGGCUGAAAAGUGGAAAAUAUUGUUUAUGAUAGUUUGAAGUUAACUCUGAUUCAUUGGACUCAUUAUUCUUAUAUAUGUGGUUGUGAUCACAGGGCACAAGAAAAUGAAAGUCAAGAUUAUACGUAUCCUACAUAUGUGUGUGUGUGCAUACAUGCAAUUGGAUAUCUCCAUGGGCGUAUUAGCAUAUUCCAUAAACAGAUUAUAAAUUAUGUCCUUUUACUGGUUAUAGGUCGUAAGGUGUGAUUACCAGGAUUAACUUUUGAGUAAUAUUGUUCUGUAAUUUGUAUAAGUUGAAUAAUCUAAUUUUUUUUUGUGUAAGUUCAAGUCUUUCAUUGUUUCCUUAGUAGUGAAAUACAUUAGUCUCUAACAAUUUUUAUUUAUUUUUUGAGGUAAUGAUAUAAAGGAUUGAGUGAAGUGUUUAUGUUUUCUAUUCUCAUGUAUUCAAAUAUAUUUAGUUGCAACUGCUUCUUUAAUGGAUAUUUAUGACUAAUCGAGGCUAGUUAUAUUGGUAUGUCAGCCAAUAAUAAAAGAAAAAGAUCUAAUCUCUUUCUAUAGUUGUUACAAGUUUG